ACUCAAAUGAAUAGACGGGGGCCCGCACAAGCGGUGGAGCAUGUGGUUUAAUUCGACGCAACGCGAAGAACCUUACCUAGGCUUGACAUGCAUGGGAAACUUUCGAGAAACCGAGAGCCCUCUUCGGAGUCCAUGCACAGGUGCUGCAUGGCUGUCGUCAGCUCGUGUCGUGAGAUGUUGGGUUAAGUCCCGCAACGAGCGCAACCCCCGUUCCUAGUUGCCAGCGGAUCAUGCCGGGGACUCUAGGAAGACUGCCGGUGCCAAACCGGAGGAAGGUGGGGAUGACGUCAAGUCAUCAUGGUCCUUACGUCUAGGGCUACACACGUGCUACAAUGGCCGGUACAGAGGGUUGCGAGCUCGCGAGAGCAAGCCAAUCCCAGAAAGCCGGCCUCAGUGCGGAUUGGAGGCUGCAACUCGCCUCCAUGAAGCUGGAAUCGCUAGUAAUCGUGGAUCAGCUACGCCACGGUGAAUACGUUCCCGGGCCUUGUACACACCGCCCGU
This 501-nucleotide ribosomal RNA is filed under the name uncultured bacterium. RNAcentral's name for it is "partial 16S ribosomal RNA". It matches the Rfam family "Bacterial small subunit ribosomal RNA", at positions 899 to 1397 of the family's 1533-position model. The record is from RNAcentral.